UGGGGCUCUCCUUGUUCAGAAAUAUUCAUGCAGAUGUUAAUAAGCAUUUCUUCUCUUUACAGGGUCCACGGGGAUUAUUGGGCCCCAGAGGUACACCUGGCCCCCCUGGACAACCUGUACGUAGGAUGUUUUUUAUAUUUGCAACUUCUGGAAGAAAAAUGAAAGUCCAUUGAAAGUUGCUUGUGUUUUUAUCAUUUGUUGUAGGGCAUUGCGGGUGUUGAUGGACCUUCGGGCCCAAAAGGAAACAUGGUGAGUAAAUAAAUUGGGAAUUAAAAAGGGAGCGAAUUCUAAAAAUCCUUUUUAUAUUCUCUCGUCCUUGCCAGUGCUACCCCUUCCAUUUUAUUGAAUUUUUUGUUAUCCCAUUCAGAUGCUUCAUGAUCUUACACUGAAAAGAGAAUCUUCUAUUGCUUAGUCUUCAGCCAAAAGACCUAACCAAGCAUUCUCUAAAGCUCCUUUAGCACCAUGGACUCCAGUGCUUAGGUCCCAUGUGUGGACUGUUAGUCUCUUUUAAAGCAAAGACCAUGAUAUUCAUUAGCAUGAAAAAAAAAUCAUACUGGAUAGAAAGUUGGUGGUAGAGUUUUAAGAGGGAGGAACAAAGAUGAGUUUGUAUUCCUUUUAGUCCUGACAAUGAGGAUCUGUAGUGCAGAAAAGCAAACCUAAUGCCUUGAUAUUUUUUUUGCAUGAUAGGGUCCUCAAGGGGAGCCAGGACCUCCUGGUCAGCAAGGAAUCCCAGGCCCGCAAGGGCUUCCUGGUCCGCAAGGUCCUAUUGGACCUCCUGGAGAAAAAGGACCUCAAGGAAAGCCUGGCCUGCCUGGCCUUCCUGGUUCCGAUGGGCCUCCUGGGCAUCCUGGAAAAGAGGGUCAGUCUGGAGAGAAAGGUGCAUUGGUGAGUUUCAAAACUUUUCUAUUUACUUACAUAGCAUUUUUUCUGUUUUAUGGUACACCUGCUACUCAAAGAACUAUUCAAGAAGAUAACAGAAAACCCAUGAUACAUGCAGAAUAUCUGUGUGCAAACAUAUUAACUAUAUUCUAAAGGAGAUUAGUAAUAUGAGCACAGAGAUUACUCUUUUAAAGUAAAACUGAUUAUGGAGUUGACAGAAUGGUAAUCAAUAGAAAUUGUUUACAUGUCACAUGGAUAACUUGUAAAUAGUUUGACUUUACAAUUCUGCAGUAUACAGUAGCUGCUAGGACUCUUCAGAACUUUGUUUUUUGGAAACUUACAAAUGCA
This 1227-nucleotide long non-coding RNA is filed under the name Anas platyrhynchos platyrhynchos (common mallard). RNAcentral's name for it is "lncRNA (ENSAPLG00000020954.1)". The record is from RNAcentral. Lineage: Eukaryota; Metazoa; Chordata; Aves; Anseriformes; Anatidae.